AACACGUGGGUAACCUGCCCAAGAGAUCGGGAUAACACCUGGAAACAGAUGCUAAUACCGGAUAACAACAGAUGAUGCCUAUCAACUGUUUAAAAGAUGGUUCUGCUAUCACUCUUGGAUGGACCUGCGGUGCAUUAGCUAGUUGGUAGGGUAACGGCCUACCAAGGCGAUGAUGCAUAGCCGAGUUGAGAGACUGAUCGGCCACAUUGGGACUGAGACACGGCCCAAACUCCUACGGGAGGCAGCAGUAGGGAAUCUUCCACAAUGGACGCAAGUCUGAUGGAGCAACGCCGCGUGAGUGAAGAAGGGUUUCGGCUCGUAAAGCUCUGUUGUUGGUGAAGAA
RNAcentral lists this ribosomal RNA (343 nucleotides) under uncultured Lactobacillus sp. RNAcentral describes it as "bacterial SSU rRNA". It matches the Rfam family "Bacterial small subunit ribosomal RNA", at positions 112 to 449 of the family's 1533-position model. Lineage: Bacteria; Bacillati; Bacillota; Bacilli; Lactobacillales; Lactobacillaceae. The record is from RNAcentral.